GAUGAACGCUGGCGGCGUGCCUAAUACAUGCAAGUCGAGCGAACAGAUGAGGAGCUUGCUCCUCUGACGUUAGCGGCGGACGGGUGAGUAACACGUGGAUAACCUACCUAUAAGACUGGGAUAACUUCGGGAAACCGGAGCUAAUACCGGAUAAUAUAUUGAACCGCAUGGUUCAAUAGUGAAAGACGGUUUUGCUGUCACUUAUAGAUGGAUCCGCGCCGCAUUAGCUAGUUGGUAAGGUAACGGCUUACCAAGGCAACGAUGCGUAGCCGACCUGAGAGGGGGAGCGGCCAGCCGGGAACGGAGACACGGUCCAGACUCCUACGGGAGGCAGCAGGAGGGAAUCUUCCGCAAUGGGCGAAAGCCUGACGGAGCAACGCAGCGGGAGACAUAAAGGUGUUCUGAUCGUAAAACUCUGGUAUUAGGGAAGAAAAAAGGUGGAAGUAACUAUGCCCGUCGUGACGGUACCGAAUUAGAAAGCCACGGCUAACUACGUG
Molecule: ribosomal RNA, 497 nt
Filed under: uncultured bacterium
Lineage: Bacteria
Description: partial 16S ribosomal RNA
Rfam family: Bacterial small subunit ribosomal RNA
Source: RNAcentral